CAAUAGCGUAUAUUAAAGUUGUUGCGGUUAAAAAGCUCGUAGUUGGAUUUCUGCUGAGGACGACCGGUCUGCCCACUGGGUGUGUAUCUGGUACGGCCUUGGCAUCUUCUUGGAGAACGUAUCUGCACUUCAUUGUGUGGUGCGGUAACCAGGACCUUUACUUUGAGGAAAUUAGAGUGUUUCAAGCAGGCAUAUGCCUUGAAUACAUUAGCAUGGAAUAAUAAGAUAGGACCUCGGUUCUAUUUUGUUGGUUUCUAGAGCUGAGGUAAUGAUUAAUAGGGAUAGUUGGGGGCAUUCGUAUUUAACUGUCAGAGGUGAAAUUCUUGGAUUUGUUAAAGACGGACUACUGCGAAANCANNNGCCAAGGAUGUUUUCAUNGA
RNAcentral lists this ribosomal RNA (380 nucleotides) under uncultured eukaryote. RNAcentral describes it as "partial 18S ribosomal RNA". It matches the Rfam family "Eukaryotic small subunit ribosomal RNA", at positions 592 to 976 of the family's 1831-position model. The record is from RNAcentral.